CUGGUCCUCCUAUUUUACGACCAAAUUAUGCUGCUAUUAGCCGCAUAAUUGGGUUUAUGAAAGGGGUAUAAGGUUCAAUGCAAAACAUUUGUGCAAAAUUGGCAUUGCAAUCAAUUGAUAUAAUUUUGUUAUAUUGCUCGGAACACAGAUGAAAACAACUGUUCCAUUUCAUCAUCAGAAGAUUUAAUGAAUCCAUACUGACGAAGUAAUUUAAGGAACUGUAAUGGGACAACCUCAUAUCAUAGUGUGAUUGUGAGGAUGAUAAUUUCAACAGGUAUUCUUGCCAGUUUUCAGGUGAAUGCCUGCAUUCAGGUCCUGGAAUUUUUUAAGGGGGAGAAUUGCAUAAUUCUUGAGUUUUCAGUCUCAUCAUCUGAAAGUUCAGGACCUGUAAUGUACUCUGGAAUUAUAAAAAAAAAUCAGGUGUGUAUCUCAUGUGUUAUGUAGCAUAUCUUUGAUCCCACCCUAUAUAAAUCCAUCGAUUUGUAAGCUUUAUGGAAUUAUAUCCAGUUGAACGACAAUGAAAGAAAUACAACACCUGGAAUAAUAGUCUCAAUACAUUUGGUUACAAUGAUGGGCAAGUUUACAGUUAUUGUAAACAAUCUGUGCACAGAGAACAUUCAAGAAAUUCUAAAUCGUGUUAAGUGUUUGUCGUUUGUAGAUGACUGUAAAGUUGGUCCAUGUUACAUGUAGACAAGCUUUAUUAAUAUUCACAUUUCUUUUACAGGUAUCACUUGUGAUCAGGUUUGAUCACUUUUCAGCAACCUUUUAUAUGUAUCAAACAGGACAAUUCUUUUGCACCCCUCCCUGUAGUCUUUGUGUACUUUUGACUUGGGCACUCUACAGAAUACACAAUUGGAACACGACCAGGAAUUAUGUGCUAUCAAGCAUUUCAGCCAUUUCUAUAGUUUCAAGUGAAGCAGAAAAUGGAAUAAACGAAGGAGUGGUGCCAAUCGUCGAUGGUUUGUAUUCAUUCAAUUCAGUGUCUAUCGACCUUCAGACUUCGUCUAUUACCCAGCAAGACUUUCAGGUAUCUGUAAAACUUUAUGGAAAAUUACUUUGUGUUCAACCCAUUUUUUUUCCAUGUAUUUUUACGUGCCUCUUUUAUAUAUUCAUACAUACACAUAGUGACUUCUGCAAAGCAAAGAAAAAAUAUAACCUUUAACCUGUGAUAUUACAUGAUGUAGUGUUUUUGGGCCAUUUCAAAUGAUGUGAAAUAUAUUUUAGGCAUGCAAUAUAAAUUUCCCAUCAUAUUCAGCAGUGAUUGUUGGGAAGUUUAUGCAUUUAAUUUUUUUUUCUUUUUUUUGUAACUUGUGAACCACCCAUGUGAGCUUUCCAUAUGAUGAACUUCAGGUGUAAAUUGACGUUUCGCAUGCAACUCUUUAAGAUCUGGGGGUUAUAAACAUGAAUUUUAUAUACAAUUGCUCUUUUGUGAUAUUGUUCCAACCAAUGUGUUGGUCGUACACUUCAAAUGAUUUUUUUACCCAUUUUCUCUAUUGUUAAAAUAAUGAUACCUCGCCAGAAAUUACAAAGAUAUCGCAUCUUAAUUUUGUUGUGUACAGAAACCUUCCGUGCACUAACAUUGAUCUUCAAUUUUAUGAACGACACUAUGGUAUAUUUAGAUCUCUUAACACCACACUUUCAGAAACUGUUCUAGUCUUGUACAUUUUCUAUUUUUGAUGUGCAUUAUAGAAUUUGACUUAUUUUUACUUAUUUUUGCUAAAAAUAAAUAUUGAAAGGGGUAUGUCCAGACAUUAAAAGUUGCAUAAUGGAUUCUUUUCAAACAUCAAUAUUUUGUAGAUUAAACUGAUGCUAAAAGAAAGAAAAAGAAAUGUGCAGAUAAAUCUGCCUUCAUGAAAAUGUGGACUGUUCUUAAUAAAUACAGCACUUCUUAAGGUGAUUGCUUGAUUCAAAAUGUUCUUGCAAUGUCGCUUAUGUGACCCAAUCUUUAGAUUCUUACCUCUGCAAUGUAUGUGUCCACGCAACAUUAUAGUCAACAAUAUACAAGUAUGUAAUGAUGUUCAUUAGCGCGCAUUAUCAUUCUGAACUUUAAAUGAGCAUUUGCAGUACUGAUAACAAACUUCGAUAGCCCUAUCAUGAGUUGAAGAUUGAAAAGGCGUUGGGAUACAAACCAAUAAUGCACCAUUUUCUCCAGUUUCAUCUUUGCAACAUGUGUUUUUAGAACUACUUAAGUUUCUUGGUAUGAAGCAUUAAGAAAAUAAAAUUAAAAGAAUCAAUGAACAGCAUAUGCUCGUCUGCGUCAAUAACCAUUUAAUGAGGAAGGGGGUUUCCCAAUGCCAUAAAUCAUGUUAUUAUUACACAAGAUCUGUUCUUGAUAUGGGCAGAUUUCUGGCAUGAAUCUUCAAGCACAUUUGUUUGUAGGCUGAACUUGAAUGCAUAUGUGGACAAAGUUGUCCAGUGUGCAAAUGCACUGCACUAUUAAAUCAUAAUAGUAGUAACUUCAUAGAAAUACUGUUGACAUGUUUUUAUAGCAACUCAUUUUGUUCUAUUUUUCAAUUGACAUUGCCAAUACUUGUACCAAGAGCUGUGAUGAAGAAACAUCAUUUUUAUAGCGAAUAGCGUCAUCAUCUUGAUAUUGAUAUUUUUACCCCCAAAGAAAUUUACCAUGUAAGAGAUUUAGCCAGCUUUAUUUUGUGCAAUUGAAUACCGACAGAUGAAAUACUUUGGAAAUGAGAGCAGUAUCUCAACGAAGUUAUACUUUGAUAUUUUAUCAUGGUUAUUAUUAUUCUCAUAAUGACAGAUUCUUCAAUGUGUUAUUCAUAUGAAAAAGCUAAAGUACUUGAAAUGAUUUUUAAAAAGAAUACAGGUACUUCUUAAAAAAAAUACAAGAACACCUCAUUUAUUUAUACAUCUUCCAACUGUCUCGUUUUUUUCUUUAAAAACUUCUUGGCUUUUUAUCAAUAGUUCUUUUUUUUACCAGUGCCUUGAAUUGGGGUGGGAGAUUCAAUACUGUUUAACACAUUUAAAUGAAAUUAACUAACUUAAUUAAGUACAUCAUUCUCUCUAAACUCUUUCUUUGCCCCCCCCCCCCCUCUUUCAAGUAUAUUUGAUUCAAACCAUAAUUUUUCAUGUUUUAGAUCUAGAUCAUAUGGAGUACAUGCACUAAUUCUAGAUCUCUCAAUCUUUAUCCUACAGAUAUGUCUGAUAGCCGGUGUGGCCUGAUGUUUUGACUGAUCACCAACCAUCAUCCUUUCGAAGGGAGGACGACGAUGGUAGUGGGAGAACACCUGUGCCUGGAUGCACACAUCUGUGUAGGAUGACAACUUCUAGUAUCAUGAAGCUUAUGAAGACAAUCAUCACAUGAAGAUUGGUAUCGCAGUAUCUGUGGUCUUCAAGAAGCCGGAGGAAUUCCAUCUAGGAUCAGUAUGAAGUAGCUACAAUGAAAGAGGAGACAUUUCUUCAUAUCAUCUACAUUACUUCAACACAGAGGAAUGUCUAUAAAGCUAUUUGCAGCAUUCCUGCUGCCUUGAUAAUAUGUCCCACUAGAACCUCUUGUAAUAUUUACACGGUCUAGGUAGCAUGAAUUCUUGUAUUGCAAAGUGGGGGAAAAGUAGUGAUGGUGAAUUAUAAUUUGUAAUUUGAGAAUCUACCAUCAACAUUGUCCAUGUAGGCAGGAUAUACAGUUAAACCUGUCUUGGCAACCCAAGUCUAUAGUGACCGUUGGAUGACCGUAAUAGACGGGUUUGACUGUACUAGUCUGUACAAUGCUUUAAAUUUACAACUAGAUGGAUCCUCAACUGCACAAGUCAAAAUGUGUGCCUUCAGAUCUGACCUUUGCACACUUUAUUCUGAUAGUGUAAAAAGACUAUCAAAUUGAUCCAAUCGCAGUCAUGAUAUAGUCUCUGUGACCUUUGACCUUCAGAUCUGCAGAACUUUUUAGAUCACCAUCACUCCAAUAUGCAUACAUGACCCAAGUAUGAAGUUGAUUUGUCAAACAGUUCUUGAGUUAUUGCAAGAACAAGGCUUUCAAGUUAUACAAUGACCUCUGUGACCUUCAACCUUUGACCUCCACACUCCAUAAUUAGGUCAUUGUCACUCCCAUAUGCAUACAUGAUCUAGAUAAAAAGUAAAUCUGUCAAACGGUUCUUGAACUGUCACGAGAGCUGAGAGGGGA
This is a long non-coding RNA of Lytechinus variegatus (green sea urchin), 4132 nucleotides long. RefSeq lists it as uncharacterized. Lineage: Eukaryota; Metazoa; Echinodermata; Echinoidea; Temnopleuroida; Toxopneustidae. The record is from RefSeq and is a predicted model, not a curated record. The transcript is spliced from 4 exons.